RNAcentral lists this ribosomal RNA (497 nucleotides) under uncultured bacterium. RNAcentral describes it as "partial 16S ribosomal RNA". It matches the Rfam family "Bacterial small subunit ribosomal RNA", at positions 28 to 507 of the family's 1533-position model. The record is from RNAcentral.
GAUGAACGCUGGCGGCGUGCCUAAUACAUGCAAGUCGAGCGAACAGACGAGGAGCUUGCUCCUCUGACGUUAGCGGCGGACGGGUGAGUAACACGUGGAUAACCUACCUAUAAGACUGGGAUAACUUCGGGAAACCGGAGCUAAUACCGGAUAAUAUAUUGAACCGCAUGGUUCAAUAGUGAAAGACGGUUUUGCUGUCACUUAUAGAUGGAUCCGCGCCGCAUUAGCUAGUUGGUAAGGUAACGGCUUACCAAGGCGACGAUGCGUAGCCGACCUGAGAGGGUGAUCGGCCACACUGGAACUGAGACACGGUCCAGACUCCUACGGGAGGCAGCAGUAGGGAAUCUUCCGCAAUGGGCGAAAGCCUGACGGUGCAACGCCGCGUGAGUGAUGAAGGUCUUCGGAUCGUAAAACUCUGUUAUUAGGGAAGAACAAAUGUGUAAGUAACUAUGCGCGUCUUGACGGUACCUAAUCAGAAAGCCACGGCUAACUACGUG